This 73-nucleotide transfer RNA is filed under the name Felis catus (domestic cat). It matches the Rfam family "tRNA". Rfam says of the family: Transfer RNA (tRNA) molecules are approximately 80 nucleotides in length. Lineage: Eukaryota; Metazoa; Chordata; Mammalia; Carnivora; Felidae. The record is from Rfam by way of RNAcentral.
GCCUGGCUGGCUCGGUUGGUAGAGCACGUGACUCUUGAUCUCAGGGUCGUGAGUUGGAGCCCCACGUUAGGUG